This 465-nucleotide ribosomal RNA is filed under the name uncultured bacterium. Its description in RNAcentral is "partial 16S ribosomal RNA". It matches the Rfam family "Bacterial small subunit ribosomal RNA", at positions 28 to 507 of the family's 1533-position model. The record is from RNAcentral.
GACGAACGCUGGCGGCGUGCUUAACACAUGCAAGUCGUACGGUAAGGCCCUUUCGGGGGUACACGAGUGGCGAACGGGUGAGUAACACGUGAGUAACCUGCCCACAACUUUGGGAUAACGCUAGGAAACUGGUGCUAAUACUGGAUAUGUGCUCCUGCUGCAUGGUGGGGGUUGGAAAGCUCCGGCGGUUGUGGAUGGACUCACGGCCUAUCAGCUUGUUGGUGGGGUAGUGGCCUACCAAGGCGGCGACGGGUAGCCGGCCUGAGAGGGUGACCGGCCACAUUGGGACUGAGAUACGGCCCAGACUCCUACGGGAGGCAGCAGUGGGGAAUAUUGCACAAUGGGCGCAAGCCGGAUGCAGCAACGCCGCGUGCGGGAUGACGGCCUUCGGGUUGUAAACCGCUUUCAGCAGGGACGAAGCUUUUUGUGACGGUACCUGCAGAAGAAGCACCGGCUAACUACGUG